Molecule: microRNA, 24 nt
Filed under: Monodelphis domestica (gray short-tailed opossum)
Lineage: Eukaryota; Metazoa; Chordata; Mammalia; Didelphimorphia; Didelphidae
Description: mdo-miR-12312-5p
Source: miRBase by way of RNAcentral
UGGGUUGGAGCUGUGCAUUCUUGA